AAAAGUCGUAACAAGGUCUCCGUUGGUGAACCAGCGGAGGGAUCAUUACAGAGUCUCGUACUCCCUAAACCACUGUGAACCUACCACUGUUGCUUCGGCGUGAUGCCGCUCGGCGGGCCCCCGGGCCCCCCGCGCGGCGGAUCGUCGGGGACCCCAAACCACUGUAUUUCAGAAUCUACUCGGAGACAGCGCAAGCAAUCAAAACUUUCAGCAACGGAUCUCUUGGCUCUG
This 231-nucleotide unclassified non-coding RNA is filed under the name fungal sp. RNAcentral describes it as "partial internal transcribed spacer region". The stretch from base 1 to 48 matches the Rfam family "Eukaryotic small subunit ribosomal RNA", at positions 1784 to 1831 of the family's 1831-position model. Lineage: Eukaryota; Fungi. The record is from RNAcentral.